GAUUUUACUGUGAUCUAAUCUGCUGCUGACAGCAGAGUUGAUCUGUUUAUUAAAUGUUAAACAUGGCCCACCCCAAGUGUUGAUUGUGCUGUUAGAGAAUAGAUUAAUUGGAAGUUAAAGGGACAGUUCAACCCGAAAUCCAAGGUCCAUUUUUUCUCCUUUUAUACCUGUAUUGCCAUUCAUCCGUCUACCUUCUUCUCGUGUGGGUUGCCUAGUUUUGGAGAUACCAGCCGUCCAGAUGUCUGCCUUCUGUCCAAUAUAAUGAAGCUAUGCAACGCUUGACGCUUUUUGUUGCCACUAAGCAAAAUGUAAGUCUCUUUCCAGCCGUUUACAGCCUUCCCUUUGUUAUGUGCUUUAGUUGAGCUUGAAGAUGCAGUCAUUUGUUGUUCAAUGGUUAAUUUCAUGAUGAUCCAAUGACUAAAAAAGGGAAACCUUUUUUGUUUUAAUUUUUUUAUGUCCACAUCUAAAUAAUGUUUUACUACUGGUAAAGCAUUUUUUAACUAACUAGCUAAAUAUGUGUAUUGAACCUUUUUAUCAUGGGGCAAGUUGAAUCCUUUUCCUUGCAAAUUAAGAAGUAUUGAUUACUGUUGAAAGCAGACAAUAAGAUUGCCUUUAGGAAUGAAGAGUUCUUAUCAGGUGAACGGGAACUGCUGUUAAGGUGUGUGGAAAUGAAAUAAAGAAAAAACCAUAAACUGGGCUUUUCCAUUAUACCCAUUUAGCUCUGUCAGAAGGGCCACGCGACCGACCACCGAAGUGUAAUUUAAUUGUUUUGUGCAAGAAGUCAUGUGUUCGCUUUGAAUGUGGAUCCCAGGAGUAGAACUCCAAUGGGUUUUCCACUAAUACACAUUCUACAUAACAGUAACAUCUACACAGCCUCUCAAAGGUCUAAGCCAUAUGUUUGCACUAUAUGGAAUUGACAAUUUGACCAUACUCAUGUCACUUAAUCCUUCAAUAAAGCAGAAAGUGGAAAUGAGAGUUCCAGUGCAGUAAUGUGUCGAAUUGUAAACUCCGUUCGAUCUUGUCAUGUAGGAGAGGAUAUAAUUAAGUCUCUUAGUAUGGAGGCAUUCUGAAAAAUACAUUUUAACCACCACAAUUACAGCCAAAUCAAUCUCCGUGGCCUGGGAAUGUUGAUGGAACAUUUUGAUUUGAAAGUAAUUGUUCAAACUUUCCUGGUACUGGAAUCAUACCAACAUCUGCAUUUUUACUUUUUCUUGUGGUGAUAAUGAAGGGACGCCCCCUCAUUUAAGUAAUUAUAAAGAACACAUUCAGCCUUCUGUCGUCUGCAGCAGUAUGGGCCAUGAAGAAUUAUUCCGUGACUUUGACUCUACAACAAGCAAACACUAAAUCCACAUGAGAAAUGUUCUUGCACCAUUUACUAAAAGUCAGGAAAACAUUUAUUUUUAGUCCAAGCUGUUUAUCAACCUCAAUCCCCUCGGCUGGGUUCUGCACUGCACACAUUUAGACAAAGUUUACACAAAAGACAGAAGCAGUAAUUUAAACGGUGCCUGAGGAAUGCUGUUAUUUUUCACUCACCGGCAUCAGUAAUAAAGCAAAGAUGUUUUACUGACACAAAUGUCCCCUUGUGUGGGAAGUUCUGAUUGUGUUUUGUUUUUUCUGAAAAAGUAUUUGAGGCUGAAAAAAGUAUAAAACAUAAACAUAAAAAAAGUUAAUAUGUUGUCUUCGAUCAGAGUUGGCCUUUUAUAAGUCACAUUUACUUGUAAACAACCAGUUCAUCACAACAAGCCGUUCGGAGCACAGCGGUUGAGACAAGCUGAAGCGGUCACGGCGGAUGGAUCCUGUAACAUGUUCGUCUGAGUUACAGAACAAAUCCAAAGAGUGUAUCAUUUGCUUCCGUUAAGGAAAGAUGAACACAAUGCAACUGGCCCCCGUUCUGACAUCUUUGGCGGUUUCUGUACUGACAGACAGCUCCCAGUGGCCCGACUUCAUUACAGUCUUAGGCAGAGAAGUCAUUGAAACCCUUUGUCCUCCCAUACAGUUUGGAUAUAACAUCCUUUGAUGAUUCUGCUGGGGGAGUUUUUAACUAAUUACAAUGAUGGUUUUACUACUUCUGAGCGGGGUAACAAUGCACAUUGUGUGUAAAUAUUGCUAAAUAUUCACACCUCAUUGAAUCCUCAUUGGGAACGAGGAGGAUGAGCUUUUCUUUCUUUCUGAAUGGAUGGGACUGGUCCAAUCCUGCAUGCAGAUGAGAGUUACUGUUUGUUCCAUUAAACAGGAGCCAAACAUCUCCAGCUAAUUGAUAGACUAUUCCAAUGUGUAUUUUGACUUUGCCAAGACAGCGGCCCCAAAUCAUCUACAUAUUGCCGAAAAGCAGAGAGUGUAGAGGAUUUUUGUAAUUGCGGACCAAGACUUAUUGGAAGGAGUUGCACCAGAAAGGUGUGAGGCGGAGCGAGUGUUGAUUUAGCGCGGGUGUAGAGUUCAGUGAGUGAAGGAACAGCGGGAGUGCUGAGGGGGCAUUCCUGACAAGCAGCGUUUAAUUUGACUGAAAAGCCAGAGGGGACAUAAACCAAGAGGCGCUUUCUCUAUAGGAACCGCAUGGCAUUAAUGGCUCGGUGGACCGGGGGAACCUAUCGCUGGCGUUUUUUCUCUGCUGUGUGGCCCGGAGCCACUGAGUCACUGCCCCGGCCUUCCUUCCUGUCUCAGCUCAGGGCCGAGCCUCCAGUGCAGGAUGGGAGAUAACCUGCUAAUCGCUGCGCCCAGCGGCUGCAGGACGAUAAGGCCGACUCUCUUCUGCGUUCCAGCACGUGGCUGCCAAUGAACUUUAAAUGUCCCAUGUGAACCAUGUGUCUAUCAGCUGUGUGCAUAUCAGCUGUGCUUCUUGUAAACUCCACCUUUUCCACAGAGUUCACAGUAUAUAUUUGUGUUUUUCAAUGCAAUAAAGUUGAUUAAAGUUUAGAAACUCGUACAUACAGUGUGCAUGUUUGAGUGCUGUUUCCGAAUCUUUUCAGUUUUAUAAAGGUUGUAUAACUUGUCUAUGGAAAACUUGCUCAGGAAGUUGUGAACGUGUAAAACCCUUUUUGGGGUGUCUUGGCUAUUUAUAGUUUAGUGAAUUCAGAUUUUGUUUCCAUCAUUGUGCUUCUGGUCUUCAUCAAUUCCAAUUAAUCCAUCCAAAGUUUUCAGAAUGUGCUGCUAUCUUUAAUUUGUAAAAAAAACUCUCCCGGAAAUAGAUGUAGAUUAAAAUAAAUAAACAAAAUUGUGCACAAUGAAUGCAAUCAAGGACAUUUUCUAAUACACUAAUUAGACUGGGUUCUCCCAUUGUUGUCUCGAUCGGACGCACGCGCUCCAGUUAAAUAAGCACAUUUCCUCUUCCUGAACUAAGUUUCCCAGAGAACUCCCUGUGUACAUUAAAGAUCUUGAAGGAGAGAAUGAAACGGCUUCGUCGACAUUUCGUCGGCUUAUGGGAAAACAAACAGUUGUAUGUUUGUUUUGUCCAGACGUUCUUCUCAAUGGGGAUGAGAUGUUUUAAUGGAGAUCAUUUUGACAAGGCAAGAAAACGUGUACUAAUUGCAAAGCUCUUUUAUUAUAAACUUAAUUAAUUGUCCUGAAUUAAAUGAAACAAGUUUAUAAUAAAAUAAUAAUACAAUGACCUGCUGAAUCACACUUUAUUACAUCUGUAGUUAUUCCAUCCUCGUUCCAUUUCUAUUGGACACAUGUCACCAAUAUAUACAAUUGUCUACAAACGGUCAUGAUCACGCAAUGAGGCUCUGACUCAUUUCACACAGGCCAGUGAGCAGAUACUGUUAAAGAUGCU
Molecule: long non-coding RNA, 3769 nt
Organism: Gasterosteus aculeatus aculeatus (three-spined stickleback)
Lineage: Eukaryota; Metazoa; Chordata; Actinopteri; Perciformes; Gasterosteidae
Source: Ensembl